AACGCAUAUUGCACCUCUUGGUAUUCCUUGAGGUAUACCUGUUCGAGCGCCGUUUAUUAUCUAAGGCUUUGCCUUGUGUUGAUGUUACCUAUUAAAGGUUUAUCUAAAUAAAUGGGCACUUAUUCUUUGUCCUAAGCGCAGCGAAAUGUGUAAAGGUUAAGAAUGAAGUAGCCAAUGCUCUCUAAAGCAUGGCCUCGGAUCAGGUAGGGUUACCCGCUGAACUUAA
Molecule: unclassified non-coding RNA, 226 nt
Filed under: uncultured fungus
Lineage: Eukaryota; Fungi
Description: sequence contains ITS2
Source: RNAcentral